GAUGAACGCUGGCGGCGUGCUUAACACAUGCAAGUCGAACGAUGAAGCCCAGCUUGCUGGGUGGAUUCGUGGCGAACGGGUGAGUAACACGUGAGUAACCUGCCCUUAACUCUGGGAUAAGCCUGGGAAACUGGGUCUAUUACCGGAUAGGAGCGUCCACCGCAUGGGGGGUGUUGGAAAGAUUUAUCGGUUUUGGAUGGACUCGCGGCGUAUCAGCUUGUUGGUGGGGUAUUGGCUCACCAAGGCGACGACGGGUAGCCGGCCUGAGAGGGUGACCGGCCACACUGGGACUGAGACACGGCCCAGACUCCUACGGGAGGCAGCAGUGGGGAAUAUUGCACAAUGGGCGGAAGCCUGAUGCAGCGACGCCGCGUGAGGGAUGACGGCCUUCGGGUUGUAAACCUCUUUCAGUAGGGAAGAAGCGAAAGUGACGGUACCGGCAGAAGAAGCACCGGCUAACUACGUG
Molecule: ribosomal RNA, 466 nt
Filed under: uncultured bacterium
Lineage: Bacteria
Description: partial 16S ribosomal RNA
Rfam family: Bacterial small subunit ribosomal RNA
Source: RNAcentral